RNA transcript from Scatophagus argus, 2391 nucleotides. It is a transcript of the gene named protein phosphatase 1, regulatory subunit 12C, with no coding region annotated. NCBI's taxonomy places the organism in Eukaryota, Metazoa, Chordata, Actinopteri, Scatophagidae. The transcript has 18 exons. The record is from RefSeq and is a predicted model, not a curated record.
ACGUAACCCAGUCACGCCUGCGCAGCUUUGCGCGCUCUCAACCCCAACGGGGACGAGACGAGGCUUCCUCCACAUUCAGAGCAAGAGCAAGAACCAGGAAGUGAAAGUACACAUGGAGGGUGUGUCUUUCUCUCCCAGUGAACGUUGUAUUUUUAAAAACACAGUCCUCCUCCGAUAAAUAAUGGGGGACUCGGCUAGGGCCAAGCGGCGGGAGCAGCUAAAGCGCUGGGACGGCUCCUGCACCGACAAAGCGUCGGCUGUGGCCAGGCGGAGGUGGCGGGGCGAUGUCGAGAACGGAUCAGGGGAGCCGGAGGCCGAGCUCAGCGACUCGUCGAGGGACCAGUUAGUGUCUGGCAGCAGGGAUGAAACCAGCCCCCUCCUCAAACGACGGAAAAGGGUGAGGUUUGACAGGGCUGCAGAGUUCCUGGCUGCAUGUGCCAGUGGGGACACAGACGAGGCCCAACUGAUGCUAAAGGAGGCCAAAGAGACCAAAUGGAGGAACGGGGAGGAUGUGGCAGAGAUUGUCAACUGCUCCAACGCAGAUGGAAUAACUGCUCUCCACCAGGCCUGCAUAGAUGGCAGCAUGGAGAUAGUGACCUUCCUUUUGGAACAUAAUGCCAAUGUGAAUCAGGUUGACAAUGAGGGAUGGACGCCGCUGCAUGUUGCUGCCUCCUGUGGCUACCCUGACAUUGCAGACUUCCUUUUGCAGCGAGGUGCGUCUCUCUCUGCUGUGAACUGUGACGGUGAUGUUCCUCUGGACAUUGCUUUGGAUGAGACCACUGAGUCCCUUCUUCAGGAUUACACUCUGAGACAGGGUGUGGACUUGGAGGCAGCCAAGCGACUGGAGGAGGAACAAAUGAUGAUAGACGCUCGGACCUGGCUGAGUGAAGGCCUCCCUGCUGAUGUGCAACACCCCAGGAACGGGGCCACCCCACUGCAUGUGGCUGCGGCCAAAGGCUAUCUAGAGGCCCUCAAGAUACUGUGUCAGUGUGGGAUGGACGUGUCAGUGACAGACUUUGAUGGCUGGACGCCUCUCCAUGCGGCAGCACACUGGGGCCAAGGGGAGGCCUGUCGCAUUCUGGCUGAACAGCUGUGCAAUAUGGAGGCCCGCAGCAACGCGGGUCAGACACCAUUUGAUGUAGCUGAUGAAAGCGUUGAGGAGCUCCUGGAGGAGUUAUCACAGAAACAAGCCAAUUGGCGUAAUGAACAGUCCAUAUUGGACAGGCAAAACCAACAAGGCUCCACAGCUGCAACCGCACAAAAUAAACUACGGAGGAGCUCAGUGUGCAGGAUGAGCAGCAAAGACAAGAUGAACGUGCAGGACCAGUCUAAAGAGAGGGGUGUUUCAGGAGGCCUGGAGCUGAGUGAGGAGAAAGAAAGCAGCCCCGAAAGCUGCACUGUGUCCAGCCCAGACACUGAGAGUGGGACUACAUCCACAGUCAGUCCUGCUGACAAGACACCAGAGGAGAGGGAUGAUGAAGAGAAGGAGCAGGACAAGGCACAACGCACUGCCAGAGUCCAGCCCACACCUCAGACAAAGGAUGCCACGCCCGAGAGCCCCAACACCCCCAACGCUGACAGGCGCAAGUUCCAGGCUCCUGUCAGGGACGAAGAGUCUGAGUCUCAGAGGAAAGCUCGCUCUCGGUUGAUGCGGCAGUCACGCCGCUCCACACAGGGUGUGACUCUGACAGACCUGAAAGAAGCAGAGAAGACUGUGGCUAAAGCUGGCGAUCCACCGCCUCGCAACAUCCAGCCCGUCUCCCCCAUUGUCACUGUCACGCCUGCUGAAAGGGACACUGACCCGGUGAAACAGGAGGAGCUGGAAGGAGAGAAGCGCCUGGGAGUUAGGGACAGGAGGAGGGGGAGGAGAGAGAGACGUUCCACUGGUAUCAUUCAGCCGGGUAGUGAGAAUGAAGAUGAAGAUGCUUUGGAUGACACAAACAUUAACAGUACUUCCAAUGAGAGUCAACUGGGAGACUCGUCAGUUGACUACAGAACGCUGUACUUCAAGGUGCUUCAGGAGAAUCUGGCUCUGAAGGACAAGCUGCAGGAGAUGGAGCUGCUGCUCAGCCAAAACAAAGUGGAGCUGGAGCGACUCCGACAGGUUCGGCAGGUUUGCUGCUACAUCUGACCUUUUGAGCGUGUGUGUGUGUGUGUGACAUUAUUAACAGAGGGAUGCUCCAUGGCUUUUGACGUUUGUCUGAGUCAGGUGUUUUGUAUUUCAUUUUGUUUUAUUAAGCAACAGCUGCAAGUUUCUAAACCAGAACAUCCAGAACCAUAAAUGCAAGAUCUCUGUAAAACCAGAAACUUAACUGACAGGUUAUAAGCAUCAAAUUUAAGAAUCUGUGUUCAUUUGUUUUUACUUGAUUGUUGUGUAGCUCUGCAGUUGCU